Equus quagga is the source of this 699-nucleotide long non-coding RNA. RefSeq lists it as uncharacterized. The record is from RefSeq and is a predicted model, not a curated record. Lineage: Eukaryota; Metazoa; Chordata; Mammalia; Perissodactyla; Equidae. The transcript is spliced from 2 exons.
UCUGUGCUCACUCCAGAUGGAUUUCUCAGUAGCCUGGCUCUCUGUAUCACACCUAAGCAAGAUGUUUGCUUCUCUUUCCUGUGUUCCCACAUGAGAGACCAGCCCUGGUUGCCAUGGUGACCCCGGGUUUCAAAAGCCCCACACUUUCAAACCAGACCCAUCAUCUUCCUCUCAAAACAGCUCUUUCUUGCAGGCCCCUGUCUCAAGGAAGGACACACACCAUCCACCCAGCUGCAAAAGCCUAAACCUGAGAGUCACCCUUGGCCCCUCCUUCCCCCACCUAACCCCCACUGCCAAACCCAAACCAGUCACCAAGUCCUGUCAUUUCUAUCUCCUAACUAGCUCUGGAGUUCUCUGCAUCCCCACAGCUCCCACUCUAGUCAGGUCCCUGUCACCUCCCUCCUGGACAACACAGCAGCCUCCCAAACUGUCUCCUAACCGCCAUUGCAGCCUAAUGUUCUAACCUACAAAUCUCAUCUCCUUGCAGACUCCUCGAUGGCUCCCUCUGGUGCUCAGGACCCUGGUGGAGACCUCUGAGAAGGAAGCACCUCAGUUCCCUUUCCUGCCAGACCAGACUCAAGGCAGCGGCUAAGACUGACCAGCUCGAUAUUUCCAGCAGAGGCCAGACCCCCAAUAAGCACUGGUUUAUCAAGUGGAUGGGUAAAUGGAGUCAAAGAAACAAGCUUGAGACACCAAGUA